CGCUGAACUUAAGCAUAUCAAAAAGGGCGGGAGAAAAGGGA
This 41-nucleotide ribosomal RNA is filed under the name Saccharomyces cerevisiae (brewer's yeast). Its description in RNAcentral is "partial 28S ribosomal RNA". Lineage: Eukaryota; Fungi; Ascomycota; Saccharomycetes; Saccharomycetales; Saccharomycetaceae. The record is from RNAcentral.